This 491-nucleotide ribosomal RNA is filed under the name uncultured bacterium. RNAcentral's name for it is "partial 16S ribosomal RNA". It matches the Rfam family "Bacterial small subunit ribosomal RNA", at positions 29 to 507 of the family's 1533-position model. The record is from RNAcentral.
AGUGAACGCUGGCGGUAGGCCUAACACAUGCAAGUCGAACGGCAGCACAGUAAGAGCUUGCUCUUACGGGUGGCGAGUGGCGGACGGGUGAGGAAUACAUCGGAAUCUACUUUUUCGUGGGGAUAACGUAGGGAAACUUACGCUAAUACCGCAUACGACCUACGGGUGAAAGCAGGGGAUCUUCGGACCUUGCGCGAUUGAAUGAGCCGAUGUCGGAUUAGCUAGUUGGCGGGGUAAAGGUCCACCAAGGCGACGAUCCGUAGCUGGUCUGAGGGGAUGAUCAGCCACACUGGAACUGAGACACGGUCCAGACUCCUACGGGAGGCAGCAGUGGGGAAUAUUGGACAAUGGGCGCAAGCCUGAUCCAGCCAUACCGCGUGGGUGAAGAAGGCCUUCGGGUUGUAAAGCCCUUUUGUUGGGAAAGAAAAGCAGCAGGUUAAUACCCCGCUGUUCUGACGGUACCCAAAGAAUAAGCACCGGCUAACUUCGUG